UGCUGGAUAUGAAAGUGGCGCACGGGUGCGUAACGCGUAUGCAACCUACCUUUAUCUGGGGGAUAGCCCGGAGAAAUCCGGAUUAAUACCGCAUAAAAUCACAGGAUGGCAUUAUCCAAUGAUCAAACAUUUAUGGGAUGAAGAUGGGCAUGCGUGUCAUUAGCUAGUUGGCGGGGUAACGGCCCACCAAGGCGACGAUGACUAGGGGAUCUGAGAGGAUGGCCCCCCACACUGGUACUGAGACACGGACCAGACUCCUACGGGAGGCAGCAGUAAGGAAUAUUGGUCAAUGGAGGCAACUCUGAACCAGCCAUGCCGCGUGCAGGAAGACUGCCCUAUGGGUUGUAAACUGCUUUUAUCCGGGAAUAAACCUGAGUACGUGUACUCAGCUGAAUGUACCGGAAGAAUAAGGAUCGGCUAACUCCGUGCCAGCAGCCGCGGUAAUACGGAGGAUCCAAGCGUUAUCCGGAUUUAUUGGGUUUAAAGGGUGCGUAGGCGGCCUGUUAAGUCAGGGGUGAAAGACGGUAGCUCAACUAUCGCAGUGCCCUUGAUACUGAUGGGCUUGAAUGGACUAGAGGUAGGCGGAAUGAGACAAGUAGCGGUGAAAUGCAUAGAUAUGUCUCAGAACACCGAUUGCGAAGGCAGCUUACUAUGGUCUUA
This 660-nucleotide ribosomal RNA is filed under the name Pedobacter humicola. Its description in RNAcentral is "bacterial SSU rRNA". It matches the Rfam family "Bacterial small subunit ribosomal RNA", at positions 81 to 739 of the family's 1533-position model. Lineage: Bacteria; Pseudomonadati; Bacteroidota; Sphingobacteriia; Sphingobacteriales; Sphingobacteriaceae. The record is from RNAcentral.